Molecule: RNA transcript, 2129 nt
Organism: Quercus lobata
Lineage: Eukaryota; Viridiplantae; Streptophyta; Magnoliopsida; Fagales; Fagaceae
Gene name: ankycorbin-like
Exons: 7
Source: RefSeq, a predicted model, not a curated record
ACGACCAGGGCAUUGGAAUCAUCAUUGAUUGUCAAACUUUUCUUCUCUCCAACAAUCAAUUCCACAGUCCAAACUUCUAGUGUAGAGGAAUAAUUGCCUUCAAGUACAUAUUAACAACAUUUGGUGGUCUAUGUCUAUACUGAGGUACGCAAAAGCUAAUUGAUAAGUUGCAAUGGCAGCAAAAGAUGACAAUUCUAACGAUGUCAGUGGGGACUGUGGGAGGCUUUAUCUGGCUGCGCUGAAAGGUGAUUGGAAAUCUAUUGAGGGCAUGACAAACAUUCAAAGAAGUAUUAGUAGGAACGAAGAAACCACUCUUCAUGUUGCUGCUGCAGCAAACCAGGAAGACUUUGUGAAGAAAUUAUUGACAUGGAUGGCAUCAAAUAACUACAGCCUAACAGCUGAAAACGAUGUUGGGAACACUGCCUUGACCUACGCUGCUGCAGCUGGAAAUGUGAAUAUUGCCGAGAUGAUGCUAGAGAAAAAUUCUGAGCUGCCAAACCUAGGUAGAGAGGUGAAACCACUCUCUAUGGCUGCUUCCUUAGGACACAGUCAAAUGGUGGAACUUCUUUAUCGUAAGACUAGGAUAGAUAGCUUGAGUACUAGUGAACAGAUUGAUAUAUUUAUCAAUUGUGUUAGAAAAGACUUAUACGAAGUAGCCUUGCAAAUGCUGGAUAAGAACUCCAAUUUAACUACCGCUACAAACUCGGAUGGAGAGACUGCAUUGCAUGUGUUAGCUAACAAGCCUUCUGCAUUUGUUAAUGAAAGUCAGCUGGGAGUUUUGAGGAGACACAUCAAUAUUCCAUGGUUGAAAUCAAAACAGGAAAACUCAAAGCAUUCUCAAGUCAAUGAAUUGUUAAAAAAAUGUCUUCAGGGUUACAGAGGCGAUGUUGAGAAUUCAAACGAAACCUCAGUGAUUUCAUAUGUUCUGUUUGAAGCAGCAGAAGUAGGCAACAUCGAGUUCUUGGUUAAGCUUAUUUGUUUUAACUUUGAUCUCUUAUGGAAAAGAAUAGACAGAAAAAGCAUAUUUCAUAUUGCUGUUGAGAAGCGCCACGAAAGCAUCUUCAAAUUACUUAAUGAGAUAGGCUCAAUUGGAGAUCUAAUAGUCGGUAGACCAUUUGAAGAUAGUAGCAACAUAUUGCAUUUAGCUGCAAGAUUGGCACCUCAAGAUAAGCUCAAUGCUAUAUCAGGAGCAGCUCUUCAAAUGCAACUAGAACUAUUAUGGUUCAAGGAGGUGGAAAAGGCCGUAAAUCCUGCAUUCAAAGAAAUGAAAAAUACGAAAGGGGAAACACCAUAUGUUUUAUUUGCAAAAAACCAUGAGAACUUAAGGAAGGAAGGAGAGAAGUGGAUGAUGAACACAGCUCAAUCAUCUAUGGUGGUUGCUACACUAAUUGGCACUAUAGUGUUUAGUGACCAAGCAGCUGAUAAAUCAAACCGUAGUCCUAAACUUUUUCUGACCUAUUCAAUUUCAAGUGCAAUAGCAUUAUUUGGUUCAUCAACAUCCCUAAUAAUGUUUUUAUCCAUUCUUACCUCACGUUAUUCAUACGAAGACUUUGUUGUGUGGUUACCUAUUAGGUUGAUGAUUGGAGUCACUUCACUUUUCAUCUCAAUUGCCGCCAUGAUGGUCGCAUUUUCUACAUCCUUUUGGUUGAGGAAUCUUAAUCAUCAGGAAUUGUCAUUGUUUUUUGUUCUCAUUGGUUUAUUUGCUUGUGUACCAAUCUUAUACGUGUUGCUCAAGUAUCGCCUAUUAGUUGAUAUACUUCGAUCUACCUUCUUUCAGUUUCAGCCACAACAUCUACUUUUGAAGGCGUCUUAGGCCCCACUGUGUAGUGGGAAUCCAACACCCGCUGCAUAGAGCUAGCGUGCAACAUAGCUAUUGUUAAGUUUUUAGCAAUGUGUUAACUUGUGCUAGUUUUGAAGCUGCGCAAUAGUAAGCAAACAUCAAGAGACUUAUGGUUAUGGUUUAGUUGCUUUCCACGGAUUUACCAUGCGGAGAACUUGGAUUCGAACCCCUCCCCCUUGUAAACAAACAUCAAGAACUUUUUUACGUUGUAAGUGUAAAAAAGAAGAAAAAAAAGAGAGAAAAAAAUUGGAAAAUUAAAGAGGAUUAUAUAUGUAAAGUCAAACUUGUA